CCCGCACAAGCGGUGGAGCAUGUGGUUUAAUUCGACGCAACGCGCAGAACCUUACCUGGGCUUGACAUCCCGAUCGCACCUUUUGGAAACUUAAGGGUCAGUUCGGCUGGAUCGGUGACAGGUGCUGCAUGGCCGUCGUCAGCUCGUGUCGUGAGAUGUUGGGUUAAGUCCCGCAACGAGCGCAACCCUCGUCCUUAGUUGCCAGCAUUCAGUUGGGCACUCUAAGGAGACUGCCGGUGUUAAAACCGGAGGAAGGCGGGGAUGACGUCAGGUCCUCAUGGCCCUUAUGUCCAGGGCUACACACGUGCUACAAUGGCCGGUACAAAGGGUAGCAAGACCGCGAGGUGGAGCCAACCCCAAAAAGCCGGUCUCAGUUCGGAUUGGAGUCUGCAACUCGACUCCAUGAAGUUGGAAUCGCUAGUAAUCGUGGAUCAGCAUGCCACGGUGAAUACGUUCCCGGGCCUU
RNAcentral lists this ribosomal RNA (465 nucleotides) under uncultured Desulfuromonas sp. RNAcentral describes it as "bacterial SSU rRNA". It matches the Rfam family "Bacterial small subunit ribosomal RNA", at positions 920 to 1382 of the family's 1533-position model. The record is from RNAcentral. Lineage: Bacteria; Pseudomonadati; Thermodesulfobacteriota; Desulfuromonadia; Desulfuromonadales; Desulfuromonadaceae.